Molecule: long non-coding RNA, 467 nt
Filed under: Hordeum vulgare
Lineage: Eukaryota; Viridiplantae; Streptophyta; Magnoliopsida; Poales; Poaceae
Description: long non-coding RNA (HVUL_LNC014180)
Source: RNAcentral
ACGGGACAUACCAAAAACAAGGCGGUCAUGGAGAACAACUCCAUGGAAAAUUAUUCAGCCGAUGCUUCUUGCUGGAUUCAGCUUCUCUUGUUGACGUAGUCAUCUUCAUCCUUGCUCAAGUCGUCAUCAAGAAAGUCAUCCUCCUUGGUGUCGACGUCAACCACGCCAGCGCCCUCCCCCUCCCCAGCACCAUCCUCCUUGCCAGCAACAUCAAAUUUAAGACCCUUCAGCAGGUCAUUGAGCUUUUCAGGGGGCAGAUCAACAGGGGCAUCGUCCGCGUAGCUGUCAUUGCCUGCGCCAAAGUUUCCACCUCCAAAUGCAGGAGGUGCUCCACCCCCUUGAUUCAGGCUAUCGCCACCAUAGUUGUUGGCAGGAGCAGCAUUGUAUCCACCACCACCACCAACCCCUGUGAAACCAGCAUCGCCCCCAUAGCCACCUUGCCCGCCUUGAGGGGCACCAUAAUUGCC